Molecule: transfer RNA, 73 nt
Filed under: Loxodonta africana (African savanna elephant)
Lineage: Eukaryota; Metazoa; Chordata; Mammalia; Proboscidea; Elephantidae
Rfam family: tRNA
About the family: Transfer RNA (tRNA) molecules are approximately 80 nucleotides in length.
Source: Rfam by way of RNAcentral
GCCUGGGUAGCUCAGUUGCUAGAGCAUCAGACUUUAAAUCUGAGGGUCCUGGGUUCAAGUCCUUGUGCAGGAA